UGAUGUGCGGCGAUCUGGCUGCAACUUCGGUACCCCCAUUGAUUGCCAGGGUUGAUUUGGCUGAUCAACUGGCUAGGCGGUGUCCCCGUCCUCCCUCACCGCUCCAUGUGUGUCCCUCCUGAAGCUGUGUGCUUGGUUGAAGGGGUCGACCAUCCUGGUUAGAAGAGGACCAUUUCCUUGGUUAAGGGUAUGUAACAGGAUUUCCCUGUGAGAACCUCCAGACAAGCCCUCAAGGUGGCCAGUAAAUAUACAUUAAAGUACUUAGCUUUAUUUAUCAUCAGAGAAAUGCAUAUGAAAACCAGCACUGCGGU
Molecule: small nuclear RNA, 311 nt
Filed under: Chinchilla lanigera (long-tailed chinchilla)
Lineage: Eukaryota; Metazoa; Chordata; Mammalia; Rodentia; Chinchillidae
Description: 7SK RNA (ENSCLAG00000022072.1)
Rfam family: 7SK RNA
About the family: 7SK was discovered as an abundant small nuclear RNA in the mid-70s but a possible function has only recently been suggested. Two independent studies have found that 7SK RNA binds the CDK9/cyclin T complex (known as elongation factor P-TEFb).
Source: Rfam by way of RNAcentral